This 261-nucleotide long non-coding RNA is filed under the name Mytilus galloprovincialis (Mediterranean mussel). Lineage: Eukaryota; Metazoa; Mollusca; Bivalvia; Mytilida; Mytilidae. The record is from RNAcentral.
UAAUACAUAUAAACAAAAAUAUAUAAGUAUCUUGCGAAAAUUGUAAUUUCAAAUUUGGUACAUAACGUCAAAAUGUAUAAAAUGUACACCAAAAUUUUACUAGCUACUUUGUUGGUUAUCCAAAUUGCACAUAUGGUUGCCCUACCUGACCAUUUUUAAAUGCAACGAUGAUUGGUAGUGUUGAUGCAACACAACUGAAUAGGGAGCUAAGACAAUAUAUCAACGAACAGAUAAAACAACAGCCUAAUUUCAACAAACGAC